This 552-nucleotide ribosomal RNA is filed under the name uncultured bacterium. Its description in RNAcentral is "partial 16S ribosomal RNA". The record is from RNAcentral.
CCGUCAAUUCCUUUGAGUUUUAGUCUUGCGACCGUACUUCUCAGGCGGAGUACUUAAUGCGUUAGCUGCGGCACUGCAGGGGUCAAUACCCGCAACACCUAGUACUCAUCGUUUACGGCGUGGACUACCAGGGUAUCUAAUCCUGUUUGCUCCCCACGCUUUCGCGUCUCAGCGUCAAUAUCGGUCCAGGUAGCCGCCUUCGCCACCGGUGUUCCUCCUAAUAUCUACGGAUUUCACUCCUACACUAGGAAUUCCACUACCCUCUCCCGUAUUCAAGUCUCCCAGUCUCCAAUGCACUUCCCAGGUUGAGCCCGGGGCUUUCACAUCAGACUUAAAAGACCGCCUACACGCGCUUUACGCCCAAUAAUUCCGAACAACGCUCGCACCCUCCGUAUUACCGCGGCUGCUGGCACGGAGUUAGCCGGUGCUUCCUUUGAGGGUACCGUCAAGCAAAGAUGAUAUUAGCACCCCUGCAUUUCUUCCCCUCUGACAGAGCUUUACGACCCGAAGGCCUUCAUCACUCACGCGGCGUUGCUGCGUCAGGGUUUCCCC